ACGGUCCUAAGGUAGCGAAAUUCCUUGUCGGGUAAGUUCCGACCUGCACGAAUGGCGUAAUGAUGGCCAGGCUGUCUCCACCCGAGACUCAGUGAAAUUGAACUCGCUGUGAAGAUGCAGUGUACCCGCGGCAAGACGGAAAGACCCCGUGAACCUUUACUAUAGCUUGACACUGAACAUUGAGCCUUGAUGUGUAGGAUAGGUGGGAGGCUUUGAAGUGUGGACGCCAGUCUGCAUGGAGCCGGCCUUGAAAUACCACCCUUUAAUGUUUGAUGUUCUAACGUUGGCCCCUGACCGGGGUUGCGGACAGUGUCUGGUGGGUAGUUUGACUGGGGCGGUCUCCUCCUAAAGAGUAACGGAGGAGCACGAAGGUUGGCUAAUCCUGGUCGGACAUCAGGAGGUUAGUGCAAUGGCAUAAGCCAGCUUGACUGCGAGCGUGACGGCGCGAGCAGGUGCGAAAGCAGGUCAUAGUGAUCCGGUGGUUCUGAAUGGAAGGGCCAUCGCUCAACGGAUAAAAGGUACUCCGGGGAUAACAGGCUGAUACCGCCCAAGAGUUCAUAUCGACGGCGGUGUUUGGCACCUCGAUGUCGGCUCAUCACAUCCUGGGGCUGAAGUAGGUCCCAAGGGUAUGGCUGUUCGCCAUUUAAAGUGGUACGCGAGCUGGGUUUAGAACGUCGUGAGACAGUUCGGUCCCUAUCUGCCGUGGGCGCUGGAGAACUGAGGGGGGCUGCUCCUAGUACGAGAGGACCGGAGUGGACGCAUCACUGGUGUUCGGGUUGUCAUGCCAAUGGCACUGCCCGGUAGCUAAAUGCGGAAGAGAUAAGUGCUGAAAGCAUCUAAGCACGAAACUUGCCCCGAGAUGAGUUCUCCCUGACUCCUUGAGAGUCCUGAAGGAACGUUGAAGACGACGACGUUGAUAGGCCGGGUGUGUAAGCGCAGCGAUGCGUUGAGCUAACCGGUACUAAUGAACCGUGAGGCUUAACCUU
RNAcentral lists this ribosomal RNA (986 nucleotides) under human gut metagenome. RNAcentral's name for it is "bacterial LSU rRNA". It matches the Rfam family "Bacterial large subunit ribosomal RNA", at positions 1945 to 2925 of the family's 2925-position model. The record is from RNAcentral.